Molecule: ribosomal RNA, 388 nt
Filed under: uncultured bacterium
Lineage: Bacteria
Description: bacterial SSU rRNA
Rfam family: Bacterial small subunit ribosomal RNA
Source: RNAcentral
CGAUGCCCUGGAGAAACUCUGAGCAGCGACGCCGCGUGGGGGAUGAAGGUCUUCGGAUUGUAAACCCCUUUCGGCAGGGAAGAUGGAACGGGUAACCGUUCGGACGGUACCUGCAGAAGCAGCCACGGCAAACUUCGUGCCAGCAGCCGCGGUAAUACGAAGGUGGCAAGCGUUGUUCGGAUUCACUGGGCGUACAGGGAGCGUAGGCGGUUGGGUAAGCCCUCCGUGAAAUCUCCGGGCCUAACCCGGAAAGUGCAGAGGGGACUGCUCGGCUAGAGGAUGGGAGAGGAGCGCGGAAUUCCCGGUGUAGCGGUGAAAAGCGUAGAGAUCGGGAGGAAGGCCGGUGGCGAAGGCGGCGCUCUGGAACAUUUCUGACGCUGAGGCUCGA